UGUAUGGGCACAUUUACACUUGGUAUUAAAAUGGGUUCUCAUUAUGUAGAUUCUGCCUGCAUUGUGAUCUCAAUAUGAGAAUUAGUUAGGCGGGGCUGGUGGACAAGUCACUAGACAUGGAGCAUUCCAGGUCAAGCAAGUAGAAUGAUGAUAUGGUACCAACGUGUUUUCUGCUGUCUGACUGCGCACACAUCCUUGAUAGAUAGAGUGUUGGGUUCUGGUUUGUGCUGAUUCACAGUAGAUGCGGCUGAGACAGCAUGGCCUGGUAACAGCGACUGGGUCAGGACAGAUAAAGAUGAAUUUCCUUCCAAAAGCAGGCAUAGCAGGAAAAGUGUGCAGCCAGCUGAUAGUGUCGGCUCUAUUUGCACAUUCACUUGAAAUUCUCCAGAACUAAUAGAUUCUACCAGAUUCAACUAACUCAAUACUGCUGAUCUGCAGCUUAUUACAGCCAACCAGCCAACUAGCUAAUCAUUCAACCAACCAGCCAACCAAGGAACUGAACUGUAAAUAUAAUAUGAAUAUGAGGUCUGCAUCUGAAAUGUAAUCUAUAAAGUCAAUCCUUUAUUAUUGUUUUACGAUCAGCUGAGGCAAUGCAGAAAGCUUAAUAACAUCUCCUGGAGGACUGCCUGCUGCACGGCAAAUACACUCCAUCUCAACAGAAUGUAUUAAUCUUGUAUAUUGCUGUGGUCAGAUAAACAUAUACCUUGCCUUCACAAUGCAGAAGGAAAAAAAAUAUUUUCAGGUGUGAAGAACAGCAUUCAUGUCAUGUACCAUGGAAUAAUACAGUAGAUUACAGCAUUCAUGACUCAACACAUAAAUGAAGUCACACGUGAAAAUCGAUGUGUGAUUCUUAAUUGAACUCAGUGUGCUUUUGUACAUGUGCUUCUUGGAAAUGUAUUGGUGCCCAACAAAAUGACAGUUCAGCUAUUCUUAGAUCCAAAGCUGCACUUGUAAAUGAAAGAGUGAAUAAACCCAAGACUUGAAAUAAAAUAAAACAAAUAAAGCGAACAUGGAGAAAGUUAUAGUAGU
Long non-coding RNA from Siniperca chuatsi (mandarin fish), 1029 nucleotides. RefSeq lists it as uncharacterized. The transcript is spliced from 4 exons. The record is from RefSeq and is a predicted model, not a curated record. Lineage: Eukaryota; Metazoa; Chordata; Actinopteri; Centrarchiformes; Sinipercidae.